RNAcentral lists this ribosomal RNA (489 nucleotides) under uncultured bacterium. Its description in RNAcentral is "partial 16S ribosomal RNA". It matches the Rfam family "Bacterial small subunit ribosomal RNA", at positions 29 to 506 of the family's 1533-position model. The record is from RNAcentral.
AAUGAACGCUGGCGGCAGGCCUAACACAUGCAAGUCGAACGGUAACAGGAAGCAGCUUGCCGCUUUGCUGACGAGUGGCGGACGGGUGAGUAAUGUCUGGGAAAUUGCUCGAUGGAGGGGGUUAACUACUGGAAACGGUAGCUAAUACCGCAUAACGAUGCAAGACCAAAGAGGGGGACUUUAGGGCCUUUUUCCAUCGGAUGAGCCCAGAUGGGAUUAGCUAGUAGGUGGGGUAACGGCUCACCUAGGCGACGAUCCCUAGCUGGUCUGAGGGGAUGACCCGCCACAGGGAAACUAGGACACGGUCCAAACUCCUACGGGAGGCAGCGGUGGGAAUCAUUGCACAGGGGGCGCAGGCGUACUGCGGCCAUGCGGCGUGUAUGUGAAAGGCCUUCGGGUUGUAAAGUACUUUCGGCGGGGAGGAAGAAAGUAAAGUUAAUACCUUUGCUCAUUAACGUAACCCGCAAAAAAGACACCGCCUAACUCCGU